Molecule: ribosomal RNA, 492 nt
Filed under: uncultured Actinomycetes bacterium
Lineage: Bacteria; Bacillati; Actinomycetota; Actinomycetes
Description: bacterial SSU rRNA
Rfam family: Bacterial small subunit ribosomal RNA
Source: RNAcentral
GCGGCGAACGGUCGCGUAACACGUAGGCAACCUGCCCGAAAGACCGGGACAACAUUCCGAAAGGGGUGCUAAUACCGGAUGUGGCCAGCGGGAGACAUCUCCUGCUGAUUAAAUCACUUGUGGCUUUCGGAGGGGCCUGCGGCCUAUCAGCUAGAUGGCGGGGUAACGGCUCACCAUGGCGACGACGGGUAGCUGGUCUGAGAGGACGAUCAGCCGGACUGGGACUGAGAUACGGCCCAGACUCCUACGGGGGGCAGCAAUUAGGAAUCUUGUGCAAUGGGCGAAAGCCUGACGCAGCGACGCCGCGUGGAGGAUGACGGCCUUCGGGUUGUAAACCUCUUUCGCCAGGGACGAAGCGCGAGUGACGGUACCUGGAUAAGAAGCACCGGCUAACUACGUGCCAGCAGCCGCGGUAAUACGUAGGGUGCGAGCGUUGUCCGGAAUUAUUGGGCGUAAAGAGCUCGUAGGCGGUUUGUCGCGUCGGCUGUGAAA